CCUACGGGUGGCAGCAGUGAGGAAUAUUGGUCAAUGGACGAGAGUCUGAACCAGCCAAGUAGCGUGAAGGAUGACUGCCCUAUGGGUUGUAAACUUCUUUUAUAUGGGAAUAAAAUGUUCCACGUGUGGGAUUUUGUAUGUACCAUAUGAAUAAGGAUCGGCUAACUCCGUGCCAGCAGCCGCGGUAAUACGGAGGAUCCGAGCGUUAUCCGGAUUUAUUGGGGUUAAAGGGAGCGUAGGUGGAUUGUUAAGUCAGUUGUGAAAGUUUGCGGCUCAACCGUAAAAUUGCAGUUGAAACUGGCAGUCUUGAGUACAGGAGAGGUGGGAGGAAUGCGUGGUGUAGCGGUGAAAUGCUUAGAGAUCACGAAGAACUCCGAUUGCGAAGGCAGCUUACUGGACUGCAACUGACACUGAGGCUCGAAAGUGUGGGUAUCAAACAGGAUUAGAUACCCCUGUAGUC
RNAcentral lists this ribosomal RNA (460 nucleotides) under uncultured bacterium. RNAcentral's name for it is "partial 16S ribosomal RNA". It matches the Rfam family "Bacterial small subunit ribosomal RNA", at positions 338 to 795 of the family's 1533-position model. The record is from RNAcentral.